Molecule: transfer RNA, 55 nt
Filed under: Cavia porcellus (domestic guinea pig)
Lineage: Eukaryota; Metazoa; Chordata; Mammalia; Rodentia; Caviidae
Rfam family: tRNA
About the family: Transfer RNA (tRNA) molecules are approximately 80 nucleotides in length. Their secondary structure includes four short double-helical elements and three loops (D, anti-codon, and T loops).
Source: Rfam by way of RNAcentral
AGCUCAGUAGUAGAGCACUUGCCUAGCAUGCAUGAGGCCCAGGUUCAAUCCCCGG